AUACCCCUACAGAGAAGGCAGAGAGAUGAAACCCUAAAUCCAUACAGAAGAGGUCACUGCCCCAAGAAGAAGCCAUCAUACUCAGGCUGGAGUGGGGAGAGGCUGUCCUGAACUGGACAGAGACAAAGUGGCGCUGGUUGCCUGGCCACGGUCCAGACAGCAGGGAAAACAGAGGCCAAACCAGUGUUAACACCAGGCUCCAAACAGCCGCGCCAGCCCCAGGAGAGAAAACCCUGCCACACCCCUGCGCCUGACAGCUGUGUUCUGUCUAGAGCUCCAGGUGAAUUAGGAGGGUGGGCUGCAGUCAGAGGCCACACCAGCUAGACCUCUGCCUUCCACAGCUCUGCUCACAGCCGCCCUAGACAAGCAGGGGCAACGGGCUGUCUUCAGGGAAAGAGACGGUGCUUUCUCGGGGAUCUGCUUCAUUGUGGUUCAAAGAGAACGGCACAGAGCUAAUCUGGGAAAACAAGGUCAGCUCAGCGUAUCGAGGCCAGCCUCUAGAGGAAGAAAACAGUUGUCUCCAUGGACAAAGACAGCCCUUGGCUUAACAAGCACGCCUCACACUCACACACUGCGACAAGCAAGACAAGGACAAAAGUGUGAGGUGAAGGCUGGAGGCAAGACGGGAACAGCUGAGACGAGGCAGGACCCGGGAGAACGGUAGUGACACAUCACUCAUGGUCCGUGCAAAGCCCAUCUUUAGUCGGAGUUGUUCGGCUCAGUGAGAACCUCACUGCAGGCUCAGAACAACUGACAAGCGCUGGUGAGAGGCGACUGAGACAGAAAAGAGCCGAGCGAGGCUCCCAGUGCCACCCGCCGGCUCCCAGGGCCACCCGCCGGCUCCCAGUGCCAGAAGCAUCAGUCACCCUCGGUCAGGGGGGCCAAAGGCAAACAGUUGUACCUGGGAGAUGGAACCACUGUCUGCAGAAAUAAAGAUACAGCCCGAGGUUCCCCAAAGACCCAGAGUGGCACCUCAGUCCCCCAACACAGGCUGUCUCAAACUCUUCACAAGUCCAGUUCUGUAGAAAACUGACCACCUGUGGUAAAGUACUCUCCUGGCUCCUAAUGCUGUACAUAGUGCUACCUCAAGCAAUGGGCUCACAGCCCCUGACAGCAUCACUUUCUAUGGUUUGUAACUUACCGACAAACACUCACAUCCAUGUUUUUUGUUUGUUUGUUUUGUUUUGUUUUUUUAGAUAGUGUCUCUCUGUGUAGCCAUAACUAUCUUGGAUCUUGCUCUGUAGACCAGGCUGGCCUCAAACUCACUGAGAUUGGCCUGAGUGCCGGGAGAAAGUUGUAUGCCACCACUGCCUGGCCCCCUGAAUAUUUUUAUUAUAGAAAAAGUUUAAAUAAAAUGAGCAAAGUUAGGGCUGGAGAGAUGGCUAAGUGGUGAGGAGCACUGACUGCUCUUCCAAAGGUCCUGAGUUCAAUUCCUAGUAAUCACAGGGUGGCUUGCAACCAUCUACAUGCCAGAAAACUGUAUACAUACUAAGUAAAUACAUCCUUAAAAAAUAAGAAAAGACCAGAAAUAACCCACAUAACCACCAUCCAGAUUUAUUUAAGGUGAGUUACAUCUCUAAUUUGCUCAGGUGUAGGAAGAAAACACCCAGGCCCUUACCCUUGACAUAAAUGUCACACCAACAGGAGGACAUCACUAACAGUCACACCAGCAGGAGAAUAUCACUAAGAGUCACACCAGCAGGAGGACAUCACUAAGAGUCACACCAGCAGGAGGACAUCACUAAGAGUCACACCAGCAGGAGGACAUCACUAAGAGUCACACCAGCAGGAGAACAUCACUAACAGUCACACCAGCAGGAGACAUCACUAAGAGUCACACCAGCAGGAGGACACGACUAACAGUCACACCAGCAGGAGGACAUCACUAAGAGUCACACCAGCAGGAGGACAUCACUAAGAGUCACACCAGCAGGAGGACAUCACUAACAGUCACACCAGCAGGAGGACAUCACUAACAGUCACACCAGCAGGUGAACAUCACUAAGAGUCACACCAGCAGGAGGACACGACUAACAGUCACACCAGCAGGAGGACAUCACUAACAGUCAUACCAGCAGGUGAACAUCACUAACAGUCACACCAGCAGGAGGACAUCACUAAGAGUCAUACCAGCAGGAGAACAUCACUAACAGUCACAUCAGCAGGAGAACAUCACUAACAGUCACAUCAGCAGGAGAACAUCACUAACAGUCACACCAGCAGGAGGACAUCACUAAGAGUCACACCAGCAGGCAGACACGACUAAGACUCCCACUGGAAUGGCACAAAGGCCCCCAUGCUUCUUUCCCCCUGUACCUGAAGGUGCCUGCCUCCUGGAGGGCAUCCUGAUUAGCAGCCUCCCUGGUGACCCACUCCUUUAGGCUGCGGACCUGGUUGUCUUCCUGCUUCUUUAGAAGCACAUGGAGGCGCAUCUUAGACUUCCGCAAAAAGGAGGCUGUGAAGACAGUGGGGGACCUGAUGUGGCCAGUUUUUGACCCAUCUUACCCAAGAGAAAAGCUGCCCGCCCUUUGGCCAGGAAAGUUCUGAAGGUGGUUACCCUCUCCACAUUAGGUGGGCGAUUCAGCGCUGGGGCACAGUGCUUACCGUUGCGCGCGUCAUCUUCAUUUAAGAGGCCAAGGAGAAUGGUGACUCUCCUCAUGUUGCGUGCACGGCUCUCAUUCUGGUCUCGGAGCAUCCCCACCGCGCUCUGCACACAGCUCCGCAGCAGUCUGGUGGUGUCUAGGACCUGUGAGCACCGAGGAGGAGGAGUGUAGGCUUCCACUGCGCCGGUUCCAGUCAGGACAAAGGCCAGGCCAGCAUUGUGAAAUGAUGGCUUUGUGUUAGCGGUCACGCGGCCCCAGUUGGUGGCCAUUAUGGCAAAAGUUACAACCUGUCAACCAUAUCCCUUGCUGACCAGCAUUAGCAAGUGGGUCAGGGAUGAAGGAAUGGGAUGGAACUAUUUAGUGAAGGGAACGACUCACUCUCCCCUCCCCCCAGUCAAUAAGCACAGGGGCUGGCUCUUUUAACUCCCAGGAGAGAGGGCAGAGCUGCAGCUCUCAUAGCCAAUGGGAAAAGCAGGACUCACAUCGCAGGCUCUGGGGUCAGACGCCGUCUCCGUCCCCUCUAGACCCUCCACCUCCAUUUUCUCCUCCGCCAUCUCCCCUGACUCGAUGGUCUCUAUCUCCAUCGCCUCCUCCGAGUCGUCUGGUAGGCAAAAGGCAAGGCAAACAUGCUCGAGUUAACAUGUGGGACUAGAACGUGUCGGACUACCUGAGAUGGGCUGGGACUUGCCAGGCUUCCCAGAAGUCCCUAUCAGUAGCAGUGGCCCUAGUCAAGGGAACAUGUGUUUUGUAUGUCAGCUCCAGCUCAGGCGCUCCCUAGCCUGGGCUCUCAGGGCCAGCAAAGGAACCAUAAAGUAGCCUGGCAUGCUGUGGGCACACUCGGGUGGCCUUCCCCUUGGCUCCACCACAGCUGGGACAGCAGAGUGGCCGGCCCCGCAUCCAGCACUAUGGCACUGCUGCACCUGGCAUUUCCCGCCUGUCACCAAACCACGUCCCCAGAUGGCUGACUUGUGACUCACACUCAGGUCUGUCCACUGGCUUGAACAGCUGGCUGAUGGUGACAUUCUGCAGCUUAGUGACAUCUGAGGCCAUGAUCGUGGAUCUGCGGAGGUCAUCAAUGUGGACAGACCGCCACAGCCCUGUGAAGGACAAAGUCACUGGAAUCUCCUGUAACGUAGCCAUUUUCUUCUUGUCAUUUAUGAACAAAGAAAUAAAACCAACCUGGAUCUCA
Mesocricetus auratus (golden hamster) is the source of this 3792-nucleotide long non-coding RNA. RefSeq lists it as uncharacterized. The transcript is spliced from 2 exons. NCBI's taxonomy places the organism in Eukaryota, Metazoa, Chordata, Mammalia, Rodentia, Cricetidae. The record is from RefSeq and is a predicted model, not a curated record.